GUCCCGGCCGUAAACGAUGUGCACUAGGGAGGGGAGCGCCUAAGCUGUCCCUCCCCAAGCGAAAGCGUUAAGUGCACCGCCUGGGGAGUAUGCUCGCAAGGGUAAACUCAAAGGAAUUGACGGGGGCUCACACAAGCGGUGGAGCAUGUGGUUUAAUUCGAGGCAACGCGAAGAACCUUACCAAGGUUAGACAUCUACGCUAACCCCUUCGAAAGUUGGGGGUGUUAUUCAGGCGUAGUGCAGGUGUUGCAUGGCUGUCGU
This 261-nucleotide ribosomal RNA is filed under the name uncultured bacterium. Its description in RNAcentral is "partial 16S ribosomal RNA". It matches the Rfam family "Bacterial small subunit ribosomal RNA", at positions 793 to 1055 of the family's 1533-position model. The record is from RNAcentral.